GAUGGCAGCGGCAGCUGGGGCUGCAGCGGCGCCGGGCCCUAGAGAGCCGCAGGCAGCGGCCAGAGUGCGGAGCUGGACACCCGGGUCCCAGAUACUACAGACACCUGGAGAGGUGGCUCCUUCGCCCUGACGCCUUCCUCGGCCCCCUACGCACUCGGGCCCCUUCCGCAGAGGAUUCGCAGCGUGAGCGCCCCGCAGCCCGCUCAGGACCAGCUAUGAGCAGACGUGUGGUUCGGCAAAGCAAGUUCCGCCAUGUGUUUGGGCAGGCAGCAAAGGCCGACCAGGCCUACGAGGACAUCCGUGUGUCCAAGGUCACAUGGGACAGCUUCUUCUGUGCCGUCAACCCCAAAUUCCUGGCCAUUAUUGUGGAGGCUGGAGGCGGGGGUGCCUUCAUUGUCCUGCCUCUGGCCAAGACAGGGCGAGUGGAUAAGAACUACCCACUGGUCACUGGGCACACUGCCCCUGUGCUGGAUAUUGACUGGUGUCCACACAAUGACAACGUUAUCGCCAGUGCCUCAGACGACACCACCAUCAUGGUGUGGCAGAUUCCAGACUAUACCCCCAUGCGCAACAUUACGGAACCUAUCAUCACACUUGAGGGCCACUCCAAGCGUGUGGGCAUCCUCUCCUGGCACCCUACUGCCAGGAAUGUCCUGCUCAGUGCAGGUGGUGACAAUGUGAUCAUCAUCUGGAAUGUGGGCACCGGGGAGGUGCUGCUGAGCCUGGAUGAUAUGCACCCAGACGUCAUCCACAGUGUGUGCUGGAACAGCAACGGUAGCCUGCUAGCCACCACCUGCAAGGACAAGACCUUGCGCAUCAUUGACCCCAGAAAAGGCCAAGUGGUGGCGGUCUCUGCCCUAAGUAAGCCCCCAGCCUGCAAUUCUCUGCCCGGCUCCUGUUCCCUCCCCUCCCUUGCAUCUCAGAAGCUCAGAGAAGGGCUCCUCGCUUUGGGAUUGAGGAGGGGAGAAGCUGGAAACUCCAUCCUCCCACCAGAACCUGCAUGAAACCUGAGCUCCUGGACCCCUCUCCUCUCAGCCGGCACCCAGACGCAUCUUCCAGGGUCUGGGGCCUGACACUGGCUCGAGGGCUGGCCCUUUCUCCUUGUGGACCCGCUGGGCGGGGGAUGGGGGCAACCCUCGCGCGUUGCUUAUCCCAGCCGGGUGCCCUGGGAGGGCGGCGGCCCUGGCCUCGCUAGCCUCAAGUCUAACCUGGGGUGCGGGUGCGUGGGCCGCGUGCAUGUCUGCGUGGAGCAAGCGCGCCGAGAGCGGUCGGGGCUGGCGCCGGGGCGCUCUAACCCACUAACCCGGCGAGCAGGAGCAAGCCCGGCCUCACGAGGGCGCCCGCCCGCUGCGGGCUGUCUUCACCGCAGACGGGAAGCUGCUCAGCACCGGCUUCAGCAGGAUGAGUGAGCGGCAACUCGCGCUCUGGGACCCGGUAGGCCAGGCCGCGCCGGGCGCGCUAGCUCGCUCCUUCUCUGGGUCUGCCGGGAGCGCCUUCCCGGGCUGUGGCUGGCGCCCAAGAGGCCAGAGCGGAGCGGGGAGCUCCCAUUCGGGAAAAGCCUCGCUGCGACUCCGGGGAGCCAGCAGACACCGCUGCUCUAGGGAUCGGCCUUUGAGCGCGCUUAAGGGUUCGGGAUCGGCUGAGAGCCGCGUGCCUCCUGCUCUCUCCAGGCCCGGAUGCUCUCCAGGUCAGGGGCCAGACGUGGCCCCGCAGGAAGCUGAGUGCUUAGGCCCCAUUUGUCUCUUCCCCGCAUCCGCUCCUCCACCCCGGACACCCAAGUUAGCAAGCUGGUUGCUCAUCCCUCCAUGCUCCUCAGGGCAGGCAGCUGGGUGAUGUCCCUCCCUGUCUCCCCCUCCCCCCAGGAGAGGUUUGCGGCCCACGAGGGGAUGAGGCCCAUGCGGGCCGUCUUCACGCGCCAGGGCCAUAUCUUCACCACGGGCUUCACCCGCAUGAGCCAGCGAGAGCUGGGCCUGUGGGACCCGGUAACGCAGCUGGAGGCUUGGGGUGUGUGCCUCGGGGACUGGCAUCACGGGAGAGUGGCCAGGCGCCCCCCACCCGCAGGGCAUGCCCACCUGGACAGGACUGAAGGCUGCUGCCACCUCUGCAGCGCCUGCCAUUCUCACACCCACCCCUCUGCCCAGUUUUGCUGCGUCGCGUGAAGGAUCCUGCGCUGGCGCCCCCACCUGGUGAUGCCGAGUCCCUGGGGGUGGUUUGCUGUGACUGCAUGCGGCGCGCAGCGGGUAUAUGUGCAGGGGAGGAGGAGCUAUGUGCGCAGGGGAGGAGGAGAGAUGUGCCCAGGGGAGGGGCCUGCAACUCUGGUCACUAGAGGUUUGGGGCAUAGGGUUUGGGAAGGCCAGGAAGCGUAAAGGGGCUUCUGGGGGUCCCGAAGUAGCACGGGAGGGUGGGGCAGGGCUGGUCACGCCUCCUGUGCUCGGGCAGAACAACUUCGAGGAGCCAGUGGCACUGCAGGAGAUGGACACAAGCAACGGGGUCCUAUUGCCCUUUUACGAUCCCGACUCCAGCAUCGUCUACCUGUGUGGCAAGGGCGACAGCAGCAUUCGGUACUUUGAGAUUACCGACGAGCCGCCUUUCGUGCACUACCUGAACACGUUCAGCAGCAAAGAGCCGCAGCGGGGCAUGGGUUUCAUGCCCAAAAGGGGACUGGAUGUCAGCAAGUGUGAGAUCGCCCGGUUCUACAAGCUACACGAAAGAAAGUGUGAACCUAUCAUCAUGACUGUGCCCCGCAAGUCAGACCUGUUCCAGGACGAUCUGUACCCGGAUACGCCAGGCCCGGAGCCGGCCCUAGAAGCGGACGAAUGGCUAUCCGGCCAGGACGCCGAACCCGUGCUCAUUUCGCUGAGGGACGGCUAUGUGCCCCCUAAGCACCGCGAGCUCCGGGUCACGAAGCGCAACAUCCUGGACCUUCGCCCGCCCUCCGGCCCCCGCCGCAGCCAGUCGGCCAGCGACGCCCCCUUGUCGCAGCACACUCUGGAGACGCUGCUGGAAGAGAUCAAGGCCCUCCGCGAGCGGGUGCAGGCCCAGGAGCAGCGCAUCACGGCUCUGGAGAACAUGCUGUGCGAGCUGGUGGACGGCACGGACUAGCCCCGCGCGCCAGGCAGGCGGAGCGGGGCGGGGCGGGGCGCACAAGCUCGGCCCCGCCCCGGCUUUUAGUCCCGAACUCCGGACCCCGCCUUCUUGGGCUGGGCCCGGGGGCGGGACUGGGAAGGGAACUCCGCCCCUCGCGGGAGACCAGAACUCUUGGAGCUUAGGGGAGACCCACGUCGCUCCAGCGGAGGCUGGACUGCGAGCCUCGUCUGGGACUCGGCUGGAGCUGGCCUAGGGAGGCCCGUGGUAACCUGGGGGGCUCAGCAAUGGUGCUGCACGGCGAGGUGGUGUCCCCCUUUGUCCUCCGCCCAGGGCAGGGAAAGUGCUUAGUAUUAGCGUGAUGCUUGGGGAUAUUGGAGCCUGAGCUUGACCUCAAACGGGUGGCGAUUUGAUGGGUACCCCCAGGCUGGGGAAAAUGACAGCGCUUCUCCUAAUCAGCUCACUGGAUUCCAUCACCCUGAGCGGUAAACCAGAUGGGCGUCACCCCAGUUCUGCAGACACAUACACAACCCCUUUGCUGCAGAGCCGGACCCAGUAGCUACACCCACAGCGGUCUGUGGUAGAGAGCUCUCUUCCUUCUUUCCACCGACAGGGGCGAGGGCUGCUUCCUCGCGGCAGCCCCCGCGAAGAAAUCUCGACAGAACUGGCAUGAGGAGUUAGGUUCAUCACAAAUACACACACACUGCCCCCAACCCUCUGCCGUUGCCUCUCUCAGAAAAACAAGACGUACUGAAUGAAAUAUUUUACUAAGCGUUCAGUCUGUGCCUCCUGCAUGGGUGGGAGUGAGGGGAACGAGACCCCCAGCCUCUGCAAAUGCUACCCCCAGGCUCCUGGGAGACCUGGCGAUGCACUCCUGGGCUCAGGGCCCAUCAGGCAGCCUCUUACCCUAGAGCUCUCUCCACUCUGAGGUUCAGAAGGACCCCAACCCACACCGUAGGCGUUCCCCCCAAGUAAAGUUAGGUAGCAAAAGC
This 4076-nucleotide small RNA is filed under the name Pan troglodytes (chimpanzee). RNAcentral describes it as "retained intron". The record is from RNAcentral. Lineage: Eukaryota; Metazoa; Chordata; Mammalia; Primates; Hominidae.